AAAAGCGUGCCAUCUAGAAACUGUUCUUUUAUUAUUAUUAUUAUUAUCAUUACUCUGCUUAAUACAUGGAUCUCAGGGAGGUUUCCUCCCCUCCCAAAGGAGGAUGGAGAGAUGGAGGACUAAAGGGAGAAAAUAAAAGGAAUGGUAAUAUCAAAAAUAAAAACCACGCACAAACACACACAUGCAGCACCCUGUGAAGAAUUCAGGAGAAGAAAAAUGAAUCAUCCAUAGUGCUUAGAGAAGACGCGUCUUCCCAUCCUCUGGAAAGGGACCCGCGAUGCAGCAGGAGAAGCAGCCCCGGGACGCGCUCUCGUCCGCAGCCGGGUUACAAACAUUGGCUUGCAAAUGCUGCGCUUAUAAGAUUUCCAAAUCCUUCCAUCCACCACCACCACCUCCAGCGCCCCGGGGAAGCCAGAGUCCCGGCUGGCUGGGCUCGAACCUGCGGCGCCGAAGCUCGAUAUCCAGGCACUUGGAGGGUUCGGCGUUGACACGGCCGCCAAGGCGAAAAGGAGAGCUGGCACAAAGGACGCACGGAGUUGGGGAGGGGGUGGGGGGGACGCUGGGAAGGGAGGGGAGGCGACGCUCCCAGGAAUCGGUAGCUGCUCUGCCGAGGGGUGGGGAGGGGAAAAGGGUGGGGAGGGGGGGUGAUGAUGUCUCUCCUUGGAUCUCGGCUCCGACUUACAUUUCUGCCCCGAGAGAAGAGGGGGGUGGGGAGAAGGGAAAGGGUGAAGCGAGAAACAGAAAGCGAACCUCCGAGAGGAGAGAAAAGAGAGCUUUGGGCAGGUGCAGUGUGAAUACCCCCUUUCAGCUACACUGCAUGCUGGAGACUGGUUGGGCUAAUACUGCUGCAGCUCGACUUCUUGAUGAGAUGCCAGACUGCCGAGGCCUUGAGAACGUUGGCUAAUCCUGGGCUUUGGGCUCAGUUACAACUCACAAGAUGAGAACAGGACCCAGACAGCAGGCAGUCCUGUCUUUAACCCUUGAUGCACCUGGCUCUUAAACUUCAAAUUAAGGACUGGAAGGCAUGAAGAAUUAACUAGUAAGGAAGAGGAG
Molecule: long non-coding RNA, 1053 nt
Filed under: Sarcophilus harrisii (Tasmanian devil)
Lineage: Eukaryota; Metazoa; Chordata; Mammalia; Dasyuromorphia; Dasyuridae
Description: lncRNA (ENSSHAG00000028107.1)
Source: RNAcentral